UCGACAGGCUUAACACAUGCAAGUCGAGGGGCAGCACAGGUAGCAAUACCGGGUGGCGACCGGCGCACGGGUGAGUAACGCGUAUGCAACUUGCCUAUCAGAGGGGGAUAACCCGGCGAAAGUCGGACUAAUACCGCAUGAAGCAGGGAUCCCGCAUGGGAAUAUUUGCUAAAGAUUCAUCGCUGAUAGAUAGGCAUGCGUUCCAUUAGGCAGUUGGCGGGGUAACGGCCCACCAAACCGACGAUGGAUAGGGGUUCUGAGAGGAAGGUCCCCCACAUUGGUACUGAGACACGGACCAAACUCCUACGGGAGGCAGCAGUGAGGAAUAUUGGUCAAUGGGCGUAAGCCUGAACCAGCCAAGUCGCGUGAGGGAUGAAGGUUCUAUGGAUCGUAAACCUCUUUUAUAAGGGAAUAAAGUGCGGGACGUGUCCCGUUUUGUAUGUACCUUAUGAAUAAGGAUCGGCUAACUCCGUGCCAGCAGCCGCGGUAAUACGGAGGAUCCGAGCGUUAUCCGGAUUUAUUGGGUUUAAAGGGUGCGUAGGCGGCCUUUUAAGUCAGCGGUGAAAGUCUGUGGCUCAACCAUAGAAUUGCCGUUGAAACUGGGGGGCUUGAGUAUGUUUGAGGCAGGCGGAAUGCGUGGUGUAGCGGUGAAAUGCAUAGAUAUCACGCAGAACCCCGAUUGCGAAGGCAGCCUGCCAAGCCAUUACUGACGCUGAUGCACGAAAGCGUGGGGAUCAAACAGGAUUAGAUACCCUGGUAGUCCACGCAGUAAACGAUGAUCACUAGCUGUUUGCGAUACACUGUAAGCGGCACAGCGAAAGCGUUAAGUGAUCCACCUGGGGAGUACGCCGGCAACGGUGAAACUCAAAGGAAUUGACGGGGGCCCGCACAAGCGGAGGAACAUGUGGUUUAAUUCGAUGAUACGCGAGGAACCUUACCCGGGUUUGAACGCAUUCGGACCGAGGUGGAAACACCUUUUCUAGCAAUAGCCGUUUGCGAGGUGCUGCAUGGUUGUCGUCAGCUCGUGCCGUGAGGUGUCGGCUUAAGUGCCAUAACGAGCGCAACCCUUGCCACUAGUUACUAACAGGUAAAGCUGAGGACUCUGGUGGGACUGCCAGCGUAAGCUGCGAGGAAGGCGGGGAUGACGUCAAAUCAGCACGGCCCUUACAUCCGGGGCGACACACGUGUUACAAUGGCGUGGACAAAGGGAAGCCACCUGGCGACAGGGAGCGAAUCCCCAAACCACGUCUCAGUUCGGAUCGGAGUCUGCAACCCGACUCCGUGAAGCUGGAUUCGCUAGUAAUCGCGCAUCAGCCAUGGCGCGGUGAAUACGUUCCCGGGCCUUGUACACACCGCCCGUCAAGCCAUGGGAGCCGGGGGUACCUGAAGUCCGUAACCGCGAGGAUCGGCCUAGGGUAAAACUGGUGACUG
RNAcentral lists this ribosomal RNA (1431 nucleotides) under uncultured organism. RNAcentral describes it as "SSU rRNA". It matches the Rfam family "Bacterial small subunit ribosomal RNA". The record is from RNAcentral.